UACGGUAGGGUGCAAGCGUUAAUCGGAAUUACUGGGCGUAAAGGCGUGCGCAGGCGGUGAUGUAAGACAGGUGUGAAAUCCCCGGGCUUAACCUGGGAACUGCAUUUGUGACUGCAUCGCUGGAGUGCGGCAGAGGGGGAUGGAAUUCCGCGUGUAGCAGUGAAAUGCGUAGAUAUGCGGAGGAACACCGAUGGCGAAGGCAAUCCCCUGGGCCUGCACUGACGCUCAUGCACGAAAGCGUGGGGAGCAAACAGG
This 255-nucleotide ribosomal RNA is filed under the name uncultured bacterium. Its description in RNAcentral is "partial 16S ribosomal RNA". It matches the Rfam family "Bacterial small subunit ribosomal RNA", at positions 524 to 776 of the family's 1533-position model. The record is from RNAcentral.